AUGAUGCAGCUUGCUCUCAUGUACAGGUCAUACGAUUUGGACUUCGAAUUCAUGAAUACAAUGAUGAGUUAUGAGGCGCUCGGCUAUCGCCUGCUGUGGACAAAGAAGCUCAUGCUACCAGUUCCAAUGAUGGAUAGCUACUCACUAUAUGUCGUGGAUGUCGAGGAGAGGACAUUGUUGGUCAUGGACCCCUGUGAGACUUCAGAGCCAAUGUCAGAGAUGCAGUACAAGCAUGAAGACAAUGCAAACUUCAUUCUAGCAGGACUUCGGCGCUGCAUACAUGAGAAUAUCCCUGGAUGGUACAUCCCUGCUCAGGGGUGGACAAUCAACUACAAUGUGAACAUGCAUGAAAGCUGUGAGAUAGAGGACAGCUGGCUGCACGUUGUAAACUACAGUAGGAAUUACACUGGCCUAUAUCUUCAGAAUGUGCUAACCCCGGCGAGAAUUAUACCACACAAAUAUAUUGAAUCCUUGGUUCAACUCUCUAAACAUCUAGUCGAGCGUGCCUAA
RNAcentral lists this ribosomal RNA (510 nucleotides) under Triticum aestivum (bread wheat). RNAcentral describes it as "partial small subunit ribosomal RNA". The record is from RNAcentral. Lineage: Eukaryota; Viridiplantae; Streptophyta; Magnoliopsida; Poales; Poaceae.